Long non-coding RNA from Homo sapiens (human), 2482 nucleotides. The record is from Ensembl. Lineage: Eukaryota; Metazoa; Chordata; Mammalia; Primates; Hominidae.
AACUGUUUUCCACUGAGAAAGCAGGAUAAACAGGGGGUGCAGUCUUUAAAACUGCUCUCAGAGAAGCUUCCAGUGGAACCAAAGGAAUACAGAUGGAGGGCCUGGGGAGAGAUGGCCUGAGGGGACCUGCAGAAGGGAUUUACCUGCUGCCCCUCCCCCAGGGGAGCCAGGAGACUGAGCUGGGCUGUAAACACUCCGUGCCUGGUGCAGCCUGGUCUGCACAGGCUGAGAGGAUGCUCUACUUCUAAACCCCAUAAGGAAAAGGCCCAGGAGGGACGGGUGAGCUUGCUCGUGCGGAAUGGAAGGCCUUGGUGACCUCAGUCCCCAAUUCCUGUGUCGCUCACCAGCACUGACUUUAUUGUCUUCUCGGGGGCUCUGAUCACCCGAGCUAUGUUGGCCUGGGCCUGGAAAACUCCCUCAUCUCUCUUGUGGGGAGUUCAGCUGAGAUGAGGUUGGUUCAGCUGGUUGUGCUGGUACCAAGAAGAUACAACCACAGGGGAUGACAGUCCAUUAAUGGGGUGGCCUUAAACUUUGGGAACUCUAGCCAAGUUACCGAGGUUAAGGGACUGUUUACUGGGGUACAUAUGAUGGUAUCAAUAUUGACUCUGCUUUUAAUUUAAAAAUCUCCUCUUUUUCUCUAGGGAUGUUGCUGCUGAUAGCUAAAAAUGAUCAAAUUCUUACCAUAUGCCAGACCUUAUGCUGGACAAUUCACUGACAUUAUCCCACGUAGUAGGCAGAAUUCUAACGUGACCCCCAAGAUUCUCCACCUUCUGUGUAAUCCCCAGGAUUGUGAAUGUGAUGGAUUUCAUUCUGGUAAACAGGUUUUGUUAUAUGGCACAGAUGACUUUAAGACAGGGAGGCUUUAAAUCUGUGACUAGCAGAAGACAUAUGGAAGGCAGAGAUUCAAAAUAUAAGAGGGAUCUGACGCACCACUACUGGCUUGAAAAUGGAGGGGACCACAUGGCAGAGGACGCACGCAGCCUCUAGUUGCUGAGGGUGGUCUCCAGUUGACAGCGGCAAGGUAACAGGGGCCUCAGUCCUACAACCACAAGGAACUGAACUCUGCCAACAUACUGAAAGAGCUUGAAGGAGGAGCAUAAGCCUCAGGGGUGAGAUCAUAGACCCAGACAAAGCCUUGAUUUUAGUUGCCUAAAACCCCGAACUGAGAACCCAGGCAUCUUGAGUGGGACUCCUAACCCACAGAAACUGUGAGAUUAAUAAUUAGUGGCGUUUUAAAAGGGUUAACUUAUGAUAUUUUUAAAAUUAGCAACACAGAAAAUCAUACACCCCAUGUGAUACCCAUCAUAACCCUCUCAAGUAGGCUUCACCAUUUUAUAGACAAGGAAACAAAGACCCAGGGAAAUUAGGAAUUUGCCCAAAGUCACAUAGCCUGUGAGUGGCAGAGACAGGUUUAAACCCAGCUAUGUCUUGACUUUAUGGUCAGUGCUCUUCAUUGCCUCAUGCAUUUCCUCUCUGUAUGAGAAGAGAGCCUCAGACACAUGGUGAAAAGAGUAUGGAACUGUUUCUGUCUGCCUGGGUGUGGAUGUGCAGAAGGGUCAGAGGACCUAUGCUUUUGUUUUGGUUUUAAAUGGUGAAAAGACAUAUACAUAGAAUCAACUAGCUGGAUUCAGUUUAGAUGAUCCCAAUAUGCCUUCUUCUCUCCAUCAGGCCUGAUCAGGGUGUUGGCUUUGGCCACAGCAGUGUCACUGAGCUUCUUCACAGCCUGUUUGAUCUGGUGCUUGUUGGCUUUGACAUCCACAAUGGACACAAGUUGUGUUGUUGUCUUCUAUCUUCUUCAUGGCUGACUCAGUGGUUGGGGGAACCUGAUGAUGAAUUAUUGGUCAAGCUUGUUUCUCCUGGGAGUGCUCUUCCAAGCAUAUUUCUGCUGCCUGCAGAGCCACACUGUCUUGGGCCACUGGCAGGUGGGUGAUGUGUGGAUUGGAUCUUCUUUUUGUGGCUGUGGACACCUUUAAGCACUGCCUUCCUGGCCUUCAAAGCAUUCGCUUUGGCUUCAGCUUUGGGAGGGGCAAGAACUUUUUUCACUUUUGGUGCCAUAAUGUGAAAAUGAGGACCUAUGUUGAGCCCUCACUCCUCUAGAAGCCAGCUGUGUGCCCUCGGCAAAGUCAAUUAAUCACUCUGAGCCUCAGUUUUUAUAAUCUGUAUGAGGCCUACUAAGAAUUUCUGCAUUAUAACCCUUGAAGGGCUGCAGCUGAUGAUCCCAUAAAAGUGUGUGAGGGGCCACUGUGAAUGAAGUCCACAGGGCAGACAGAGGCACCUGGAUGUCAUGUAGAUAUCAUUUUCUUUUCUUGAUGACUGCCAAUUUCAAUGUCCUCUGCCUAUAGGCUGGAUAUGGUCACUCUGAUGGCUUAUUUGGAGGAAGUAAUUUUAAAUAGGUUUUUUUUUUAGAGGAAAUGAUUAUUUAUUACAUUUAUUGAAAAACUACAGAAUAAGAUGGAAGGUAAUUUUUCUUUUUUUCUUGAAU